AACUUGCUCGGCUGCUUCCUGGCCUGUCAGCUGGAACAAGAACUGGAGAUCCUGAUGUCUUUUCCGCAGCGUGGGAAGGGAGGGAAUGAAAAGCAAACUGGAUUGUUUCACACAUUCCUGAGCUGCGCUGACUGCCACAGUAUCCCAGCACCAUUCCAGCAAUGUGUUAGGUGACGUGAGUAAUGUCUGUCACUUGCUGUCUGUUCUUUCAUCCUCUUCCCAGGGGCGAGUGGUGUAUUAGUCGUCUUGCUUCAGUAUGUUUCUGUUACGUGUGUAUGCCACUGUACAUUUAUCAAAGACAAGAGGGGGUCACGGAAUGCAUGCUCAUCCAUAAACAAGCUGUUUCCAGACUGCGACGAACGUUGUGAACGGUAAUGCUCUUCGCUGUGGGAGAAUCACGUGGCUCCAUUCACUGUAACAUGGUUUUAAUCCUCCUUCAAUUCAGUCUGUAGUGUUGGAGAGAACAGAGCCCGUUGGAACUGGGAGGGAGUUAUAUUGUUUUCUGUAUAGUUAAAGAUCUCCUACAAAAACAUCUGGUGGGAGAGAAGAAAUCAAAUGUGAAUGUGCUCUGCAUUUCAAUCCA
This is a long non-coding RNA of Nothoprocta perdicaria, 583 nucleotides long. RefSeq lists it as uncharacterized. The record is from RefSeq and is a predicted model, not a curated record. The transcript is spliced from 2 exons. Lineage: Eukaryota; Metazoa; Chordata; Aves; Tinamiformes; Tinamidae.